RNAcentral lists this long non-coding RNA (596 nucleotides) under Sus scrofa (pig). Its description in RNAcentral is "lncRNA (ENSSSCG00070024200.1)". Lineage: Eukaryota; Metazoa; Chordata; Mammalia; Artiodactyla; Suidae. The record is from RNAcentral.
CAGAGGGCGCCCGCGCCCAGGCCGCUAAGCCCUCAGCGCAUGCGCUGCGGGCGCCCGCGGAUUUUGUCAGAAAGUGGAAACUCUCCGCGAAGGCUUUCCUCGCCGCUGCGGCUCGCGCCUUGCUUCUUCCCCUAGGUUCACCUGCCUGCCCGAGUGACUGAGAGCCGAGCGGACCGGCCCCCGCCGCCCGGAACGCACUUCCAGUCCCAUGGAGCCCGAACUCCUGCUCGGCAUCUCUACUUUCCGCUCCGGCUGAGCUGCUCUGGAGCCCGAGACCGGGGAGGCGCGACUCUCGGCCCACAGCCGCACCGCCGCCGGGUGCUGUCCGCCCUCCGAGACCCGCGCCAGAGCCUUUGAAACUGGCAGAGGACGCUGCACCAGGAAAUCUGUGGACUUGGGAUGAGGCAAGCCCCUGGACUGCUCUGAGGACAGGGCUCUGGAUACUGGAGCACAUCGUAUGGGACUGGGACUCCAAUGGCAAACAUGACUUCAUUGGCGAAUACACCUCAGCAUUCAAGGAGAUGAGAGGAGUGAUGGAAGGGAAACAGGUACGUGGUAAACCACUCGUGCCAUUUCCCCAGGCUCAUCUCUCAUGA